AGCUUUAUCCUUUGUCCCCAUUCCCAGAUACUGAGUCAAUGUUCUGCAGUUGGUCUGGCUCUAGUUUUCAGUCAUCAAUGCAGGAGAGACAUAUUUACACAGUAUUGCUCAUAUCCAGAGGCUGUGAAGAAAGCGAGCAAAUAUAUCAUCGUGGGUCAAAAAAGCUUUGCAGAUUUUUCGUGGAACAUGGUGAACAAACAAGUAAAAGGAAAUGCAGCAACAAAUAUUAAAUCGAUUGAAGCUGGUGGAAGUCAAGCGAGUUUUUGCACUUUUUGUACCUUUUUUUGACAUGAAGUGACACAGUAAGGAAGUAAGCAGGGUGAUGGUGCUGGAGCCUAUCCCACCUACCUGUCCCACCCUCGACAGCUUGCCAGCCUGUGACAGAGUCCACAGAUGGCCAGCACAAGUCAAGCGCUGAGGAGGUGCACCAGAAGGGUCUUACCUGAAGAUUCUCUCCG
Long non-coding RNA from Haplochromis burtoni (Burton's mouthbrooder), 458 nucleotides. RefSeq lists it as uncharacterized. Lineage: Eukaryota; Metazoa; Chordata; Actinopteri; Cichliformes; Cichlidae. The record is from RefSeq and is a predicted model, not a curated record. The transcript has 3 exons.